UACGUAGGUGGCAAGCGUUAUCCGGAUUUAUUGGGCGUAAAGGGGACGCAGGCGGUCUUUUAAGUCUGAUGUGAAAGCCUUCGGCUUAACCGGAGUAGUGCAUUGGAAACUGGGAGACUUGAGUGCAGAAGAGGAGAGUGGAACUCCAUGUGUAGCGGUGAAAUGCGUAGAUAUAUGGAAGAACACCAGUGGCGAAAGCGGCUCUCUGGUCUGUAACUGACGCUGAGGUUCGAAAGCGUGGGUAGCAAACAGG
Molecule: ribosomal RNA, 253 nt
Filed under: uncultured bacterium
Lineage: Bacteria
Description: partial 16S ribosomal RNA
Rfam family: Bacterial small subunit ribosomal RNA
Source: RNAcentral